GUAUACAGUAAUCUGACCUGUUAAAAAGUAGUACAACAUGCAAAGACAGGAGAACGUUAUCUCAGAUUAGAUUCUUCAGUGAGCAUCUCGUAUGACAAGUGGAGUGGAUGGACACUUAACUCGUUAUCGCAAUAUUUGCUAUUUAAGAUUAAUUUAAACAAAAAAGCCACUUAAUGUAUCUUAUACUCACACCUUUGAGCCAACCUUGUAUCAGUGUAGCAUCAAGUUAAGAGGCAAGAAGUCAUGUGAGGGUUUUCAAAGUACAUUUAGGCUAUAUUCAAAUAAGGCGAGACGUUUUUGCAGAAAUCACAGUUUGAAUAUUUACUUCCAAGGCCUCAUCACAUCAAAUAAUAUCAGAUAGGAAAUUAAUAUUUCAAACCAGUCUUUAUGUACUCAGGUCUAAUAAAAAUGGAAUUUAAUUAUUUAUUAUUAAUAUUUGGAUUAUUAUCAUCUGGUAGUGUACAUGGUCAGAAAAUUUGUUGGGACUCAAAAUGGUACAACGAAUCUGUUACAUUGAGAAAUGGAUCAAAUUAUGAACAUCAACCAGUAAGUGUAUUAGAUAAGAUUUGCACUCAAGGAUCAGUAAUAGCUGCACAGUGUAAGGAUAUUAAGGGAGAGGCCUUUCAAUAUCAAUUU
Molecule: long non-coding RNA, 636 nt
Organism: Ruditapes philippinarum (Manila clam)
Lineage: Eukaryota; Metazoa; Mollusca; Bivalvia; Venerida; Veneridae
Exons: 3
Source: RefSeq, a predicted model, not a curated record